Molecule: transfer RNA, 73 nt
Filed under: Epiplatys togolensis
Lineage: Eukaryota; Metazoa; Chordata; Actinopteri; Cyprinodontiformes; Nothobranchiidae
Description: tRNA-Asn
Source: RNAcentral
UGGACGGAUGCCCGUUGGUUUAGGCGCUUAGCUGUUAACUAAGAUUUUGUAGGAUCGAGGCCUACCUGUCCAG